GGUGCCUAACAAUGCAAGUCGAGCGGUAACAGGUGUAGCAAUACAUGCUGACGAGCGGCGAACGGGUGAGUAAUGUUUCGGAAUCUGCCCAAUGGUGGGGAAUAACCAGCCGAAAGGUUGGCUAAUACCGCAUAAGCCCUACGGGGGAAAGCGGGGGAUCGCAAGACCUCGCGCCGAUNGAUGAGCCGAAACCGGAUUAGCUAGUUGGUAGGGUAACGGCCUACCAAGGCGACGAUCCGUAGCUGGUCUGAGAGGACGACCAGCCACACUGGGACUGAGACACGGCCCAGACUCCUACGGGAGGCAGCAGUGGGGAAUAUUGGACAAUGGGGGAAACCCUGAUCCAGCGACGCCGCGUGUGUGAAGAAGGCCUGCGGGUUGUAAAGCACUUUUAGUGGGGAUGAAAAGCUCAGGGCUAAUACCGCUGAGUCUUGACCUAACCCAAAGAAAAAGCACCGGCUAACUCUGUGCCAGCAGCCGCGGUAAUACAGAGGGUGCAAGCGUUAAUCGGAAUUACUGGGCGUAAAGCGUGCGUA
This 536-nucleotide ribosomal RNA is filed under the name uncultured bacterium. RNAcentral describes it as "bacterial SSU rRNA". It matches the Rfam family "Bacterial small subunit ribosomal RNA", at positions 43 to 573 of the family's 1533-position model. The record is from RNAcentral.